CCUACGGGUGGCAGCAGUGAGGAAUAUUGGUCAAUGGGCGGGAGCCUGAACCAGCCAAGCCGCGUGAGGGACGAAGGUACAGCGUAUUGUAAACUUCUUUUGUCAGGGAACAAAAGCGGGGACUAGUCCCCGAAUGAGGGUACCUGAAGAAAAAGCAUCGGCUAACUCCGUGCCAGCAGCCGCGGUAAUACGGAGGAUGCGAGCGUUAUCCGGAUUUAUUGGGUUUAAAGGGUGCGCAGGCGGCCUGUUAAGUCAGCGGUAAAAGCCCGGGGCUCAACCCCGGCGAGCCGUUGAAACUGGGGGGCUGGAGUGGGAGAGAGGUACGCGGAAUGCGCGGUGUAGCGGUGAAAUGCUUAGAUAUCGCGCAGAACCCCGAUUGCGAAGGCAGCGUACCGGCUCCACACUGACGCUGAGGCACGAAAGCGUGGGUAUCAAACAGGAUUAGAUACCCGGGUAGUC
RNAcentral lists this ribosomal RNA (459 nucleotides) under uncultured bacterium. RNAcentral's name for it is "partial 16S ribosomal RNA". It matches the Rfam family "Bacterial small subunit ribosomal RNA", at positions 338 to 795 of the family's 1533-position model. The record is from RNAcentral.